RNAcentral lists this ribosomal RNA (254 nucleotides) under uncultured bacterium. RNAcentral's name for it is "partial 16S ribosomal RNA". It matches the Rfam family "Bacterial small subunit ribosomal RNA", at positions 524 to 776 of the family's 1533-position model. The record is from RNAcentral.
UACGUAGGGGGCAAGCGUUGUUCGGAGUUACUGGGCGUAAAGGGUGCGUAGGCGGCUUUUUAAGUUUGGUGUGAAAUCUCCUGGCUUAACCGGGAGGGUGCGCCGAAUACUGAGAAGCUAGAGUAUGGGAGAGGAAAGUGGAAUUCCUGGUGUAGCGGUGAAAUGCGUAGAUAUCAGGAGGAACACCGGUGGCGAAGGCGGCAUCCUGGACCAACACUGACGCUGAGUGAGCGAAAGCCAGGGGAGCAAACGGG